AACGAACGCUGGCGGCAUGCCUAACACAUGCAAGUCGAACGAGACCGUCGGGUCUAGUGGCGCACGGGUGCGUAACGCGUGGUAACCUGCCCUUAGGUUCGGUAUAACUCCCCGAAAGGGGUGCUAAUACCGGAUAAUGUCUUCGGACCAAAGAUUUAUCGCCUUUGGAUGGGCGCGCGUUGGAUUAGCUGGUUGGUAGGGUAAAAGCAUACCAAGGGGACGAUGCAUAGCUGGUGUGAGAGGAUGAUAAGCCACACUGGGACUGAGACACGGCCCAGACUCGUACGGGAGGGAGCAGUGGGGAAUAUUGGACGAUGGGCGAAAGCCUGAUCCAGCAAUGCCGGGUGAGUGAUGAAGGCCUUAGGGUUGUAAAGCUCUUUUAGACGGGAUGAUAAUGACAGUACCGGGAGAAUAAGCUCCGGCUAACUACGUG
This 433-nucleotide ribosomal RNA is filed under the name uncultured bacterium. Its description in RNAcentral is "partial 16S ribosomal RNA". It matches the Rfam family "Bacterial small subunit ribosomal RNA", at positions 29 to 507 of the family's 1533-position model. The record is from RNAcentral.